RNAcentral lists this ribosomal RNA (421 nucleotides) under uncultured bacterium. RNAcentral describes it as "partial 16S ribosomal RNA". It matches the Rfam family "Bacterial small subunit ribosomal RNA", at positions 359 to 773 of the family's 1533-position model. The record is from RNAcentral.
UAUAUUUGACUAUGGGGGCGACCCUGAUCCAGCCAUGCGUCGCGUGUGAAGAAGGUCGUCUUUUUGUAUAGCACUUCAAGUUGGGGGGAAGGACUGUAGGUUAAUACCUUGACGUUUUGAUGUUACAAAUAGAAUAAUCCCCGGCUAACACUGUGCCAGCAGCCGCGGUAAUACAGAGGUUGCAAGCGUUAGUCGCAAUUACUUGGCGUAAUGAGCGCGUAGGUGGUUAAAUAAGAUGGGUGUGAAAUCCCCGGGCUUAACUUGGGCACUGCUUUCAUAACUGCUGAGCUAGAGUACGGUAGAGGGUAGUGGAAUUUCCUGUGUAGCGGUGAAAUGCGUAGAUAUAGGAAGGAACACCAGUGGCGAAGGCGACUACCUGGACUGAUACUGACACUGAGGUGCGAAAGCGUGGGGAUCAAAC